Molecule: ribosomal RNA, 415 nt
Filed under: uncultured prokaryote
Description: bacterial SSU rRNA
Rfam family: Bacterial small subunit ribosomal RNA
Source: RNAcentral
GUGCCAGCCGCCGCGGUAAGACGGAGGAGGCAAGCGUUAUCCGGAAUUAUUGGGCGUAAAGCGUCCGCAGGCGGUUUCACAAGUCUGCUGUCAAAGACUGGAGCUUAACUCCGGGCAGGCGGUGGAAACUGUGAAACUAGAGUACGGUAGGGGUAGAGGGAAUUCCCAGUGUAGCGGUGAAAUGCGUAGAGAUUGGGGAGAACACCAGUGGCGAAGGCGCUCUACUGGGCCGUAACUGACGCUCAGGGACGAAAGCUAGGGGAGCGAAAGGGAUUAGAUACCCCUGUAGUCCUAGCUGUAAACGAUGGAUACUAGGCGUUGCUUGUAUCGACCCGAGCAGUGCCGCAGCUAACGCGUUAAGUAUCCCGCCUGGGGAGUACGCACGCAAGUGUGAAACUCAAAUGAAUUGGCGGGG